AUCCCCGCAGCAGAUAUGUAAAACUUCAUUUCUCGCACUGUGUCUCUACUUCCAUCAAUCCGAUAGAGUAAAGAGACGACUCUCUAUCUUUUUCUCCGAACUCCACUCUCAGUGGAUUAACGAGUCGAAGAAGAGGAAGAGCGAGGUUGGUGUUGUUGAUCUGUACGACGGGAAUUCAAAAAUGGAAUUUGUAAAGAAGAAGCCAAGGGGGGACAUUUGUAAAUCAAAUAAAUACAAAUCUAUUUAAUUACACUUCACCUAUAUUAUUCUAUCAUAGUCACGAGUUCGUCAUAAUAAAAUUAUUUAUUAUUUAAGAGAAAAUAAUAAAAUAUGAGAAAGCCAAAACCAAUGCCGCGUUCAACUCCGCGGGAAUUUAGCACAUAAUAAAUGUCUGUGUAUGUAUAGAUAUAAUUAUUAAAUUAUGCUAUUUAUAUAGUAAGAAGGAUAAUUAAGUAAAACGAAUUAUGGGAACUUUAUGAUAAACAACUACAUUAAAUACUUACUGAUAAAUGGAUAGUUUCCUGCUCCACAAGUAAUUUUGUAUUUUGCGGAGGCACACCGACACAUAGCAGAAGGAGGGUUCCACUGUGGUAACCCACAUGGAAUUAAUGGUGCGUUAUUCCUGGAGAUCACCGUCUUUUGAUUGAUCUCUCUAUAGUCAUGGCAAUGGAGUUAGUAGUUAACCAAGUUUUGAGGAUCUAACUAUAAUUAAUUAAUGGUCCACUUUAACAAACUUAUUUGUCAAAUGUUCUUUAUAAGACAUUUAGUAACUAUAGAAUUUGUGUAGCAUUCAUACAACUUGAGUGAUUAUAUCGUGCUAUGUAUUGUGUUUUUGCGUAGGUGUGAAUUGUCAGUCAUUAAUUUUUCACCUAACAUUUAUUGUGUGUUUUUGUUCAUGAUUUGAAUGGUUGUAGAUGAAUAAGGCAUCAUAUCAAACCAACAAUAUUAUACAGGGGACGUGAGGUGUGGCAGUGGAACGAAGACAACUUAGUCUAUGUACCUUUUCGAUCGAUUUAAAACUAAACUAUAGAUGUUAUCAUGGAUAUGUGUAGCAACGUUUUUCUUAUAAAAUAUAAUCCUUCAAUCAUCCCGUCUCUCGACGAUGAACCAUUUCAAAUUCAUAGCAUAUACAUUUCUCAUUUCUGUACUCUUCUAUAAACUAUACAGUGUGACCAAAAUGGAUAAAAAUCAUUAGAAAGAAUACCCAAAAAAUGUCAGCUAUGUUGGAUAACGUAAAUCAAAUAGAUGUUUCAAUAUAGAAAGUGGUACAGAUUAAUUAUUUUGAAGAUAACAUGCGCUUUGUCGUUUCUGCAUGUACUGGUAGUGCAUUGCCAAUGUUCCUACACAAGUUGAUGCCUUUGGAAAUAGUUACAUUCAAUUAUCCAUCCACGCAAUAAUGAGAGUUUCCAAAACCUUACCGGACUUUUUUCCUUUUGAUAAAAUAUCUAAUCUAUUUUAAAUUUUAAAUGCAAGAGUCCGUUGCUCAAAAAAAAAAGGCAAGAGUCCGAAACUUGCAUGACCUUGCGAAGUUUCGGAUGGAUAGUAGGUGCUGGAACUGUUGUAGAUUUUGACCUUGCGAUUGUUUCUGAUGUUGCUGUUCUAGUUUGGCUUGGUGAUGUUCCUUUCAGGGUUGGGAUCGUUAAAGACUUUUGCUCCUUAGUUUUUUUACAUGUUCUAUAGAAAGGUAAUGAGUAAUUAUUGGAUCAUCAGUUGCUUCACAACUAAAUUUUCAUAUUAUGAAAUCAUAGGUUAACAACACACACAAACUUUGUUCCAUCUAAUUUUGAACUAAUUAAUUAUCACUGCUGCAGUGUGUAAUAUGAAUUUCCACUAAAGUAUUGUCUAUGAGUGUGAGUGUGAGUGUGAGUGUCAAUUGAAGAAAACAAAAGGUUGAAAAAAAAACAGAUACAAUUUUAUAUUUGCUGAGUAAAACGGCAAGCACUGUGAGUCAAAAACGAAAACGGCACGCUUUUCACCAGAUGCUGUGUAACGCAGGAAAAGAAAAACGGUUUAGAAAGAAAUAAAAACCGAUUCACAGUCGCAAGAAAACGGAAUGGUGUUUGGACUCAUCGUCAACAUCGUCGGAACGUGACGGAUCGUUGCUAACGGACUCGUAGGUGGGAAACAAAACUCUCUUCUCCAGUUCUCCUCACCUCAGGUAAGCAUUGAUCGUUCGUAAUUCGUAAUUCUCAGCGAUGUUGAAGCGUAGUGAUAAACUGAAACCUCCUUACGGAUCUCGAACUCAUCGAUUAGGAGUUACUCUCGUCGUUAUCGGUCUCCUAUUACUCGCAGCUCUUUUGUUCCGUCUCGGUGACAAGAAUCACGACCAACCGACACAGAUCGUCAAACACGUGUCGCGCUCUCAUCCAACCGUCGAGAUCCGAAACGGAACUCGUUUGAUUUGGAAGAUACCAACAAACAAACCAAAGGCUGUUCUGUUCAUCGCACACGGUUGCCACAGAAAAGCUUCAGACUUUUGGGACAAAUCACCAUCUUGUCCGAACUGUACCGGCUUACCAGAAGAGAAGGUUCUUGUCCGUACCGCUUUAUCCAAGAGCUUCGCUGUUAUCACAGUCUCCAGCUCAGGAACUUGCUGGAGUUUCGGGAAGGAGAAGAGAGUUGUCAGGGACGUGAUCAAAACGUGGGUUAAGAAGCAUAAUCUCGAGAGCCUUCCUCUCGUUGCGUUAGGAGCUUCCUCCGGCGGGUACUUCGUAUCCGCUCUCGCCUUAGAUAUGGAGUUUAGUAGCAUUGUGCUUAUGAUCGCUGAAGGAGUGUUUGAUCGGAUCAGUGUUAACAAACGUUACCCGCCGACGCUUUUCGUGCACAUGCCUAAGGACGUGUACAGGCAACAGAAGAUUAGAGAGUUUUUGGAAGGGUUGAGGGUUGAAGGCGUUGAUGCUGCGGAGGUCGAGUGUUUGGAUUUGCCGUUGUCUCCUGGGUUUUUGGCGGAUAGGAUUGAGGGUUUAGAUCGCGGCGUGUCGGCUCAAGUGUUUGAGGUGUUGAGAGAGAAGGGGUUUGUUGAUGGGAAGGGGUACAUGAAGCGUGAUGGGAGGAGAACGCCGUGGAGAGAAGCUCUUAGUGGGUAUAAGAUAUCGUUGGAGGAGAGUUUGGUUACUCCUGUUGAAGAGGAGCUGAAUCUUGCGUAUGCGUAUCAUGAGAUGACGAGUUUGCAGUCUGAACAGAUCUUUAACUGGUUUGAAUCGCAUAUGGGGUGAAUGGUUAGUUUACGGGUUGAGUUAGAAAGGACUAUGGUCACUGUAGUGUCUCUGGUGAGAAGAUAGUUUUGUUAGUAGCGUUAGCUUAACGUAAGGUGAGUUGCUUUUUGGUCCUCGUUUGUUUGUUGUUUAUCUAAGACUACCAACAAGUCUGUUGACUAUUGUGGUUCUUGAAUCUGUAACAAGAACUCCACAUAUGAGAAUGUUGGAUGCUAAGAAUUUUGUGGCAUAAUGACUUGUAUAUCUAUAGCAAGUCAUUCAAAGUUAGAACUAUUGGUGUUGAGACAUGGUAUAUGAUUAAAAAGCUUUGUUUCUUCUACCUGUCAACACAAAACAGAGUUCUAACACAAUCAAUAGAUUUAUCCCCCGUUUGUAAGGGGGACUUUAAGCUGUAACUAGAUAGCUUAUCAUGUUGUAAGGAUAAAAUGUGAUUCCAAACACAUAAUGUGGUAUUGUGUGUCUAGUUUUGACAAACUUAGCACAUAUAUAUGCUAAUACCAAAAACAAAGAGAUUAUUAUACUACAUCUUUGAACAUAGUGAAAACACAAUCUUUUGAAAUAUCAAAGUCUGCAAGCACACAAAAUGUAUAUAAUCUAACAUAGAAGUCUAAAAUUAACCAAGAACGACCAAGCAAACUAACUAUCCAAACAAAUAAGAACCUAAAAAUCAAGAUGGUAUCGUUGGUCUUAAGAAGAAAUAUAGCUAACUGGAGAUACAAAAACAAAACAAAACAAGGGUUUGAUCAAUCAAAGAAAUAAAUAAAGAUGCAUCAGAAAAACAAAAUGUUUUUUUAUUGACAAAAAUCAAUAGAUAAGUUCCAUCAACGUUUGACCAAAAAAAAAAAAGUUCCAUCAACUUUGGAGAUUUGUCCCAUUUAUAAGGAGACUCUAACCUAUAACAACGAAAGAGCUUAAAAUACAUACAAGCACUAAGCUAAAGCAUAGAUUCAGUCAACCAAGAGAGGCUUUCGUGCCUAAUUUUGACAAAGAGAUAUUCAAUAAAUAGCGGGUUUAUACUAUAUAUUAUAAUUAGUACAUUAGCUCGAGAUGCUAAUACCAAGAACAGAGAGAUUCUCAUUCAAUAGAGGGUGUAAUAAUACACUAACCCAGAGAGAUAAUACCAAACACCAAAGUCAAUAGGUUAGCAGUGAGACGUGAAUACUAAAAACAUUGAGAUUUUCAUCUAAUCAGAGGCCUAGAGGAAUUGCAUUUUUAAACAUUGUAAGAACAAUGUUUAAAAUAUAUAAGUUAUAUAGUCUAAACAUAUCAAUCACUUGGUAGGCCAAGUAUGCAACAUGCAUGAUGAAAAAUGAUGUAUGGUUUUGACAAAGUUAAUAGAUUAGAGAGUCCAUCAACUCUGUAAGAAAACAAAGAAAUAGACGACGAAGUAAUCCAAUCAUUUAUUGAAUUCACAUUUUGCAGCAUCUUCCUGAACAGUUCAGAAUCAAAUAGAUUUGUAUAUACGAACUAUAUAUUUUGUCAAAUUCAUUAGUAAUAUUGAAAAUUAAUUUGGUAAGUAAAUGAUUGAGUCAAAGAGAGUUUACCAAGGGGAGAAUCGCAAACGGAGGCGGAUUCGAGGACGAGAAACGCGAACCUGACGAAUAUAAAAGGCAGUACGAUCGCGAGCAUCAACAGGAACAGUAUCAACGUGCGGCCAGGGAACCUCCGUGCCGCCGCACAUCCUCCGCCUCCUUUACCGAUCGCUCCGCCGGGACUCGAUAUGGUGACUCUCUUAAUCCCCGCAGCAGAUAUGUAAAACUUCAUUUCUCUACUUCCAUCAAUCCGAGAGAGUAAAGAGACGACUCUCUAUCUUUUUCUCCGAACUCCACUCUCAGUGGAUUAACGAGUCGAAGAAGAGGAAGAGCGAGGUUGGUGUUGUUGAUCUGUACGACGGGAAUUCAAAAAUGGAAUUUGUAAAGAAGAAACCAAGGGGACAUUU
Molecule: long non-coding RNA, 5154 nt
Filed under: Brassica napus (rape)
Lineage: Eukaryota; Viridiplantae; Streptophyta; Magnoliopsida; Brassicales; Brassicaceae
Description: long non-coding RNA (BNAP_LNC008272)
Source: RNAcentral